RNAcentral lists this ribosomal RNA (512 nucleotides) under uncultured bacterium. RNAcentral describes it as "partial 16S ribosomal RNA". It matches the Rfam family "Bacterial small subunit ribosomal RNA", at positions 28 to 507 of the family's 1533-position model. The record is from RNAcentral.
GAUGAACGCUGGCGGCGUGCCUAAUACAUGCAAGUCGAACGAAACUUCUUUAUCACCGAGUGCUUGCACUCACCGAUAAAGAGUUGAGUGGCGAACGGGUGAGUAACACGUGGGCAGCCUGCCCAAAAGAGGGGGAUAACACUUGGAAACAGGUGCUAAUACCGCAUAACCAUAGUUACCGCAUGGUAACUAUGUAAAAGGUGGCUAUACUACCGCUUUUGGAUGGGCCCGCGGCGCAUUAGCUAGUUGGUAGGGUAAAGGCUUACCAAGGCAAUGAUGCGUAGCCGAAUUGAGAGGUUGAUCGGCCACAUUGGGACUGAGACACGGCCCAAACUCCUACGGGAGGCAGCAGUAGGGAAUCUUCCACAAUGGGCGAAAGCCUGAUGGAGCAACGCCGCGUGUGUGAAGAAGGUCUUCGGAUCGUAAAACCCUGUUGUUAGAGAAGAAAGUGCGUGAGAGUAACUGUUCACGUUUCGACGGUAUCUAACCAGAAAGCCACGGCUAACUACGUG